UUUCUCAUGCCAACAAAUCAAUAAAAUUAAUAUUAUUUUAGAAAGUACAAUAUUUUUCUUUUACAUUUGUAUACACAAAGUGAAAUCUUAAUUAAGAUAUUGUGUUUGUAUAUACAUUCUACAAUAAUACAUGAAACAAGAUCCUAAUACAAGACUAGUUAUAUAAGAGUGAAAAGUACUUAAAUAAGAAAUCCUAAAAGCCUUCAUAGUCUUCAACUUUCAUCCAUCGUUUCCAUCUACACAAUCGCUUAAGGGUAUACUUAUAUUUCUCACCUUUCAUAAGAGUGAAAGAUACUGUACGACCUACCUUUGCUUCAAUGCCAGAUAAUUUAUUUAUUUUUAUGUGUGGAAAGACGCAACUUUUGAACCAAGCCCACGAAUUGACCCAUCAACACUUCCAAAGUUUGUUGGAACAACAGGUGAUAAGGCUCCAGCAGAACUGAUAAGAUUUUCAAAUAGAAAGUCAGUUAAAUUCUAGUAGUACAUCAAACCAAGCUUUAGUUCAUAACUAAAAGAUAGUAGAUCACAGCAAAAAUCAAACCUAACAAAUGAAAAGAUGAUCAAGAACAAAGCAAUCAAGGAACACUAUAGAACUCAAUAGCUUCAAAGGAACACUAUAUAACUCAAUAGCUUCCAAGGAACACUACAUAACUCAAUCAAGACACACUACAAAACUUAUAACUGAUAUGUUCUAUUACUAAUAGAUUCCAAGGGCUAGAUCUAAUUCUUAUCAAUAUAACAUGAUUUUUUUUUUUAAAAUAGUGUGUGAUCUAUGCUCAAGAGUCUAAAAAUUAAACCCACAAUUAUUAUUAGUUUUGAGUACAUUCACGAUAAUUGAACAAUUGUUAACUAAAUCUUCCAAACAAAUAAUGUGGGUUCAGUUAGCCAUUCAAAUUUCAUCAGACUAUAUUAGAAAAAAAAAAUUAUGCUUUAGACUAAGAAAAAUAACUAUUGUAAAAGAACACGAAAAACCUUGAAAAUCCUAUGAGUGCAACAUGCUUGUGGCCAUAUUUCGUAACGUUAUAUAUGCAAAAGAAAUAUAUUUGUAUAUAUAUAAUGAAAAUUUAUGAACCUACACAUGCGCACAUCUAAUGAUAAUUACUUACUCUGCAUUUUUCAUUUUGGCAAAUCCAUCUCCAAGAAUGUUGUAAGUUACCAAGCUCAUUUCUAUGCCUUCUUUCAUUUUUCUAACACAAGAUAGUAUGAAUAAGGCUGCACAUCAUUAAAGCUUACUCUUAUCGCAAGGCGACACUGUUGAAAAAACAUUUAGAUUUAAUUAAUAUAGUAAAUAUACUUUGGCAAUGACAUAUCUACCAUCAGAGUAUAUAUUUCAAGCAUAAAAUACAUAAUUGACCUUCUAUACAAAUAAAUCAAACUUUAAUCAUAUCCAAAACUGGAAUGGUGACCUUUGUAUUGCAUCAAACCUUAUAGAACACAAGCUCGACUAGCAACUUCUCAAUUUGGCUUCGCAUUUUCUGUAUUUGAGCUCCUAAAGGAUCUCAUUUGAUCUAAAAACAAAAAAUAUUAAUAGUAAUGAAGAAAGCAGUCAAUAGUCUCCCUAAUAACUCCUAUAAACACACAAAAAAAAAAAAAACAUUGUUCUCCGUAAAUUCUUUUGUAGACUGACAAUGAAAAAGUUCAAACAAAGUGCCGUGAAAGUCAAGGGAUAUCUCAAAUGACUAUGAGCAAAUUUAUCAACAUAUAAAUAAGAAUAGAAAUUAACCAGAUUUUAAGAACAUCUGUUGCUCAUUCCCCUUGUCUUACAUGACCAGAUCAUAAUGCAAGACUUGAUAAGUAUACCCACUUGCUCUCCACAUAAUGCUUUUGAGAUAUUUCCAACCGCGAGAAGAUUAAAGAGGACAACUAUAAAAAUAAAUUUUGGUAGGAUUUCAUUAUGAUUUUUCAACAACAAUGCAAUAAAGUGAAAAAAGAAACUGAAAUCCUAAGAACCUGAGGACCAUUUAAACAUUAUAUAAUUUUAGAUUCUAGCAUCUACUCUACCUCAUGGAUGAAAGCACAUCAAAACUUAUAUUUUUAGUGCUAUAACAUUUUUUUCAGUUCAACAAAACAUCAAAAUGAAGGUGGGAAAUUCAAUCUUCUAAUUUCUUGUCUGUAUCUUUACUAGGUAAAGUAUACUCAGGUUCGCUAGUAUUAUGAUGUUAAACCAUAAUAUUAAAAUGAUGUAAUUUUUGAAGAAUAAACUUGAAAACGUACCAAGAAGGUUGUUCUCUUCCCAUAAAGUUAAUAUGCAGUAAUGUCCAUGCUAGUGGCACCUCCUGAUACCAAUUCCCUGAAAGACCAAUAAAAUGGUGAAAUUAAGUGAAAAUUUUAAUAUACAAUAAUGCAAAACAAACAAACAAAAUUGUUUAAUAAUAUGCAAGUUUAAAGCUGCCAUGUUAGAAAUGAUAUAUAGCCUCAGGCUUAAACUAGAAAAAUAAAGGGAUUAAAGAAUAUACCAAUCCGCAUUGGUUAAAAUUCUUUUGGAAGUCAACUCCAAAAUAAAGCUACAGAAAUAAUUGGCUUAACAUAAUUUUGGUUCAUGAGGCUAUGGUUUCAAGAUGGAUACUUUAUGUCCAAGCUUGGUAGUUUCUAGUAUUGUCUUUUUAUUUAUAGAGCAGAAAAAGUUGAAUCAACUAAUAGAGAAUGAUCAAUAAACCUACGAAAAAAGCAGCUACUCGAGGAAGAGGAUCCUUUUAAAGGAUUAGGCGUCCACACUCUGAAAUCCUCUCCCAUGUCUAAAACCACCUUCAGCCUUUUAAAACUCUUCAUUUUAUUUAAAUUGUGUACUUAAAAUAUUACAAUAAACCAUACCAUCAUCGAAACAAGUUGGCACCUUUCAUCCCUAUAAACUAUAAUAUAGUAAUCAAACUCUUUAAUAUCCAUUAUCUAAAUAAUCAAGAAUUUAUAAACCGUACAAGCAAUUAAGUCAAAGAUGGUUAUGUUGAUACAACCUCAUCAUCAUUUCCCACCAAAUUUGAAGUGUUAAACCAAGAACUCUCGAGGGAACAAAGAAGGAUCCACAUUUUCUUUAGCAACUAUUUUAAUACAAAAAUAAAAAAGAACCAAUGACAUGAUGAAAGUGUUGUUACUUCCCGUGCCUUGAAAAUCAAUAACUUCAAGUAUUGACUUUUUAUUUUCAUCUAGGUAUUUAACUUCUUUAUACAGAAAAAGAACAAUGUUUUUAUGGCAGGACUAUAGUUGCUAGCCUUUGAUUGGAGUCAUUAACAACCCACUUAUCUCCAUCAUCCCUACCAAAUUAUUGAACGAAUGGACUUCCGAUAGUGGAAGCGUGUGAACGCCGUAAAAAAGAAAUUUAACUUGAAACAUAGAGAAAACACCUAAACAUGCUUCUAUAGAAAAAAAAAAAAAAAAAAAAACUAACCUUUGUAGAACUUUUCAAGAAUUCUCGAACCUCCCAAAGAAUACCACGAGGAGAACAACACGAAGUCUUCCUUAUUAUUCUCAAGAUAAAAAAGACAACAGAGAGUUUGUGGGGCUUCUGUGUUCUUUUUUUUUUCGUUAAAGAGAAAAAUAUUUGCAGAGAGAUUUUUCUUUUUGGAACCAACAGAUCGUCAAAAUCCGUUUCUGGAAAGAUUGCAUGCCUCCCUUCUAUAUCUUAACCAAAAGAUAGGAAGAGAGAUGAAGAGGGAAGUUAUCA
RNAcentral lists this long non-coding RNA (3658 nucleotides) under Cucumis sativus (cucumber). RNAcentral's name for it is "long non-coding RNA (CSAT_LNC001876)". Lineage: Eukaryota; Viridiplantae; Streptophyta; Magnoliopsida; Cucurbitales; Cucurbitaceae. The record is from RNAcentral.